GAACGUGAAAUAGAUGUUUUCCUAUGUCUGGUUGCGGUCCAGGAAGAUUUCGUUUA
Molecule: transfer RNA, 56 nt
Filed under: Contracaecum ogmorhini sensu lato Australia
Lineage: Eukaryota; Metazoa; Nematoda; Chromadorea; Rhabditida; Anisakidae
Also listed under: 2 other names
Description: tRNA-Arg
Source: RNAcentral